Molecule: ribosomal RNA, 253 nt
Filed under: uncultured bacterium
Lineage: Bacteria
Description: partial 16S ribosomal RNA
Rfam family: Bacterial small subunit ribosomal RNA
Source: RNAcentral
GACGUAGGGGCCGAGCGUUGUUCGGAGUUACUGGGCGUAAAGGGCUCGUAGGUGGCCAACUAAGUCAGACGUGAAAUCCCUCGGCUUAACCGGGGAACUGCGUCUGAUACUGGAUGGCUUGAGUUUGGGAGAGGGACGCGGAAUUCCAGGUGUAGCGGUGAAAUGCGUAGAUAUCUGGAGGAACACCGGUGGCGAAGGCGGCGUCCUGGACCAAUACUGACACUGAGGAGCGAAAGCCAGGGGAGCAAACGGG